CUGACUGACCGAUAGUGAACCAGUACCGUGAGGGAAAGGCGAAAAGAACCCCGGCGAGGGGAGUGAAAAAGAACCUGAAACCGUGUACGUACAAGCAGUGGGAGCACGCUUAGGCGUGUGACUGCGUACCUUUUGUAUAAUGGGUCAGCGACUUAUAUUCUGUAGCAAGGUUAACCGAAUAGGGGAGCCGAAGGGAAACCGAGUCUUAACUGGGCGUUAAGUU
RNAcentral lists this ribosomal RNA (223 nucleotides) under Escherichia coli. RNAcentral's name for it is "partial 23S ribosomal RNA". It matches the Rfam family "Bacterial large subunit ribosomal RNA", at positions 476 to 701 of the family's 2925-position model. The record is from RNAcentral. Lineage: Bacteria; Pseudomonadati; Pseudomonadota; Gammaproteobacteria; Enterobacterales; Enterobacteriaceae.